Long non-coding RNA from Cicer arietinum (chickpea), 280 nucleotides. RefSeq lists it as uncharacterized. The record is from RefSeq and is a predicted model, not a curated record. NCBI's taxonomy places the organism in Eukaryota, Viridiplantae, Streptophyta, Magnoliopsida, Fabales, Fabaceae.
AAAAAAGGGCAAAGGAGUGUUGUUUAGACGUAAAGAGAUUUACAUUGAUACCCGCACUCGUAAAGAUGGAAUAAUUGUCAAUGAAAAGGCUGCAAGAUUGAUUGUUCCUGAUGCUACUAGUGCUCAAAACCAUUUGAAUUCACUUAGUCCAAACAACAACGAAAAUAAUGAAAAUGGUGAAGAUUAAAAGCUAAUUUGUUGUUGAAGAUGGAAUAUUGGCAAUUUAGUGGACUCAAUUUCUUACUGUUUUUUGAGAUUGUUAUGUAUGACACAAGAUGUC